UGGGGAAUAUUGGACAAAGGGCGAAAGCCUGAUCCAGCCAUGCCGCGUGUGUGAAGAAGGCCUUUUGGUUGUAAAGCACUUUAAGUGGGGAGGAAAAGCUUAUGGUUAAUACCCAUAAGCCCUGACGUUACCCACAGAAUAAGCACCGGCUAACUCUGUGCCAGCAGCCGCGGUAAUACAGAGGGUGCAAGCGUUAAUCGGAAUUACUGGGCGUAAAGCGCGCGUAGGUGGUUAUUUAAGUCAGAUGUGAAAGCCCCGGGCUUAACCUGGGAACUGCAUCUGAUACUGGAUAACUAGAGUAGGUGAGAGGGGAGUAGAAUUCCAGGUGUAGCGGUGAAAUGCGUAGAGAUCUGGAGGAAUACCGAUGGCGAAGGCAGCUCCCUGGCAUCAUACUGACACUGAGGUGCGAAAGCGUGGGUAGCAAACAGGAUUAGAUACCCUGGUAGUCCACGCCGUAAACGAUGUCUACCAGUCGUUGGGUCUUUUAAAGACUUAGUGACGCAGUUAACGCAAUAAGUAGACCGCCUGGGGAGUACGGCCGCAAGGUUA
RNAcentral lists this ribosomal RNA (549 nucleotides) under uncultured bacterium. Its description in RNAcentral is "bacterial SSU rRNA". It matches the Rfam family "Bacterial small subunit ribosomal RNA", at positions 355 to 896 of the family's 1533-position model. The record is from RNAcentral.